RNAcentral lists this transfer RNA (68 nucleotides) under Sarcophilus harrisii (Tasmanian devil). It matches the Rfam family "tRNA". From Rfam's summary of the family: Transfer RNA (tRNA) molecules are approximately 80 nucleotides in length. Their secondary structure includes four short double-helical elements and three loops (D, anti-codon, and T loops). The record is from Rfam by way of RNAcentral. Lineage: Eukaryota; Metazoa; Chordata; Mammalia; Dasyuromorphia; Dasyuridae.
AGAAAUAGUCUAACAAAGGAAUUAUCUUGAUAGGAUAAAAAAUAGGGGUGCAAGUCCCCUUAUUUCUA